ACGGGGCUAAACCAUGCACCGAAGCUGCGGCAGCGAACGUAUCACUUAAAGCGAUUCAGCGGGUUACGAUUGACGGAGCGAAGCGACGUCAAAGCGUAUACAAAGUCGAGUCGGUUUAAGGAUACGUUCGUUGGGUAGGGGAGCGUUCUGUAAGCCUGUGAAGGUGUGUCGUGAGGCAUGCUGGAGGUAUCAGAAGUGCGAAUGCUGACAUAAGUAACGAUAAAGCGGGUGAAAAGCCCGCUCGCCGGAAGACCAAGGGUUCCUGUCCAACGUUAAUCGGGGCAGGGUGAGUCGACCCCUAAGGCGAGGCCGAAAGGCGUAGUCGAUGGGAAACGGGUUAAUAUUCCCGUACUUGGUGUUACUGCGAAGGGGGGACGGAGAAGGCUAUGUUGGCCGGGCGACGGUUGUCCCGGUUUAAGCGUGUAGGUGUGUGUUCCAGGUAAAUCCGGUUCACUUUAACACUGAGGCGUGACGACGAGGCACUACGGUGCUGAAGCAACAAAUGCCCUGCUUCCAGGAAAAGCCUCUAAGCAUCAGGUAACAUCAAAUCGUACCCCAAACCGACACAGGUGGUCAGGUAGAGAAUACCAAGGCGCUUGAGAGAACUCGGGUGAAGGAACUAGGCAAAAUGGUGCCGUAACUUCGGGAGAAGGCACGCUGACACGUAGGUGAAGUGAUUUACUCAUGGAGCUGAAGUCAGUCGAAGAUACCAGCUGGCUGCAACUGUUUAUUAAAAACACAGCACUGUGCAAACACGAAAGUGGACGUAUACGGUGUGACGCCUGCCCGGUGCCGGAAGGUUAAUUGAUGGGGUCAGCGCAAGCGAAGCUCCUGAUCGAAGCCCCGGUAAACGGCGGCCGUAACUAUAACGGUCCUAAGGUAGCGAAAUUCCUUGUCGGGUAAGUUCCGACCUGCACGAAUGGCGUAAUGAUGGCCAGGCUGUCUCCACCCGAGACUCAGUGAAAUUGAACUCGCUGUGAAGAUGCAGUGUACCCGCGGCAAGACGGAAAGACCCCGUGAACCUUUACUAUAGCUUGACACUGAACAUUGAGCCUUGAUGUGUAG
RNAcentral lists this ribosomal RNA (1065 nucleotides) under Salmonella enterica. Its description in RNAcentral is "partial 23S ribosomal RNA". It matches the Rfam family "Bacterial large subunit ribosomal RNA", at positions 1175 to 2141 of the family's 2925-position model. Lineage: Bacteria; Pseudomonadati; Pseudomonadota; Gammaproteobacteria; Enterobacterales; Enterobacteriaceae. The record is from RNAcentral.